ACACAGUGCAUGUUAAGCAUUGUCUGGUUCUUCAUUACAUUUUCAACAUUUAUUAUUACUUCCUUUAUUUAUUCUGCUUCUAUAUGCAUUAAAAAUGUAAGUAUCUGCAUAUUAUAAUAACCUUAUCUUUUUUUAUUAGUGAAGAUCACUACGCCAUCAAUUAAUUUUCUUGCCCACUUUUCUUUUUUGUAAUGUAACCAUUCUUUUUCCUGGUCUUCUGUAGCUUUCUCAAUCAUCCUUUCAAUUUCCUCUUUCAAAGAGUUUAGCUCUCUACCAGUAGUGUCAGCUAACAUGUUCCAUAAGUAUUUACUUUUCAUGUGGUAUAUCUUUGCUAACAUUUGCACUUUUAUGUAUAUCGGCAUGUUACUUGUCAGCAUGUACAGUGCUGCAUGUGAUACAGUUCUGUAUGGUAUGUAAGUUCUAGUUAAUGCUGCUCUUUGCUCUCUUGUCAUUAUUUACUUAUUCUUAAUCAUCUUUAAGGCUCCAGCUCCAUAUUGGUAUAGCAUACAUUAAUACGGAUUCCCAAAUAUUAUAAUAAAGUCUUCUGGCAUGGUUCAACGAUCCUCCCACAUUUGAUAACAGGCUUCUCAUUGCUCCUACAAUCGCAUUGGCUCUCGUGCAUACUUUUUCAAUGUUAUGGUUCCCUAUCUUGAUAUCUAUUACUUUAGGUAUUCUCAUACCUGUUACCAGUAUAAUUUCAGUUUUUCUAUUGCCCAACUGUAGUUGUUCAUUGUACACCAUUUGUUCAUUGCUUCAUUUAAUUUAAAAUUGAUAUUCUUACCUUUCUUUAUUAAAGAUAUGAGAGCAAAGUCUUCCGCAAAGACAAUUGACGUUAAUUUGUCUAUUCUUUUCAGGUUGUUCAACAACUAUCGUACACCAGAUUGCAUAAAAAUAGACCCAGAAUCAAUCCCUGUGGAACUCCCAUGUACACAUAUCUUUCAAUUGUCCCAAAUAAGUUUGCUACUGCUAUUUUUCUUCCAGAUAAGUAAUUGCGUAAGAGUAUCAUAAGUUUAUCAGAUACUUUCCUUUCUUUAACCUCAUUUAGAAUAUUUAACCAUUUUAUUGAAUUAAAGGCAUUUUUGAUGUUUAUAGUGACUAGUAUGCAUACUAAAUUCUUUUUCUUGCGGGUAUCAGCUAUCCUCAUUACUUAACAGCCAGCAUCUACAGUACUGUGUUUCCUCCUAACACCAAACUGAUUAUUAUUAAAUAGAUCCAUUCCAAUACAUCUCUCAAUCAGUUUUUUGAAGAUGUUUUCCCACAUUUUACUUAGCGCAGGUAAGAUACUAAUCGGCCUAUAUGCUCUGGGCUGUAAUGGAUCUUCCCCAGAUUUCAGCAGAAACCCUAGCUAUUUUCAAUAUUCCCGGAAUUCUCCCAUCCUUGGUGAUAUUAUUAAGCAUUUGGCAUACUUCACUUGUUCUCUUCUGUGCAAUCAACUUAAUAAUAUCAGCUGGAACUCCAUCCUACACAACCACUUUCUUAGAUUUACCUUUCUGGCUGCUUCAAUUACGUCUUCAUUACUGAUCGUUAAGUCAGUAUUUAUUUCAUCUUCGUCAUUAUUGUGUAAAAUUUCUCCUGCCGGCAAUGUCGGUUUCGUCGUAAAUAGCGUUUCUAUUAUUUUUGUAACAGAUAUGUCCUUAGGUGCGGCUCUCUUAGCUAUUUUUGCCAUGACGCUUUGUACGGUUUACCCCAUGGGUCCUAUUCUAAAGUGGUACAGUACUCAUUCCAUGCUUUUGCUUUGCUCUUUUUGAUUUCAUUGAUCAAUUCUUUUCUAUUUUUUUUUUUUUGUAAAUACUCAAUAAUUCGUUGUAAUAUUCUCUGUUUCUUUUUUUGGCUCUAAUAGCUUUUCUUCAACAUUUGUUCGUUUUUAUCCUAAUUUUUUCUAUCCCUUUGCUUCACCAAGAGUUCGCUUCUGUUGCCAAGCUUACAGCCGUGCAUUGAUAGGUCAUAUAUCCAAUCAUGUGACAUCUGAAGCAUUUUGUUAUUUUAGGAAUGACCCUUGUUGCAGCGAUGGUUAACCCCAUUCUGUUUUUUAUUAUUUUACUAUCAUCUAGCAUAUAGGACGAUGGUAUUGUCACGGAUCGAAUUUUUGUCUGGUCAUGGAUAGCGACGUUUGUGUGGUUAUUGAUCUGCUUUCGCAGACUAUUCUUUUAUCCGCCCUACCCCUAGUCGCCUUUUUUUUCUUUAGGUUCUUCAUCUACUCAACCAAAGACGUAGCAUGUCCAUCAGAGUUAUUGCCCCAAUUCUUACAAUUUCUGGGUCCUUUUUCUAUAACAAAUGCAAUCUUCUUUUUAACGUAUUAAUAUUCAUUACUGCCUCCAUCAGUAUUUCAAUUAGUAGCUUUAGCUCAUCUGUUUUAUAGUGAUUGAUUCAGCGUCUUCUGAUAGAGAUGCUUUAUCUUCUUUUUCUUGUUUUCCUCUCCUCUUGUUUAUGUUCUGCAUUGAGGUGGUUUUAUUUAAAUCCGCCUUAUCUUUUGCACGCCUCGGUGCAAUUAGUGUACUAUAGUUACUGCAAUCAGAAUCGCCCGGUCUGUCAUCCUCGAUUUUACUGAUUGCAGUUAUUUUAUUUUUGUUUCUUUCAAUAGGACUCUUCGCCUCCUCUUCAUACUCCUUUUUGGAAUGAACAGGUCUGUUUCCUUUCUUGCACUCCUCUUUAGAUGUGGUAAUAUUUUGCACGUUAUCUUUAGUUUCCUCUUUCUUGUGGUUCUCCGUAUUCCGUUUCCAGUUUCCUCAUCAGAGUCGUUUGGACUGGUGUCUUCUUCUUUCUCCGUUUCCUCCACGUCGUUCCUCCAGUCAUAUGAUGACCGUCGAGUCGAGUCUGAUGAAAUUUCCACUAUGUGACAGAUAUAACUCUACAAAAUAUGUUGUUUAAAUUUUCAUUAGAGGCUCAGAUAAAAAGAUUGUAAAAAGUGACCUUUACUAUUUUCUUCAUGAUUCCGAACGCUUGUAAUUCUCUCAAUACAUUAUCUAGUAAACUAUUCCUCCUAAUUUCCACCCCAAAAACUCAGGUUAUUUGGCCCAGUUUCUAAAAAGUUAUUAUUUUUUGAAGGGCGUUCGAAUACUUUCAUGAGCUGCUGUAUAUAUAAACAAGGGUUGGGCGGGCUUACACGAUGGUGUAAGAAAUGUCUGCUUUAACUCAAUUGCAAAUGAAUAUUAUGAAUAUCUGGGUUAACUUUUUCAAUGCUUUGGUGCAAGGCGGCCUGCAGCGCUUGCGUGUCGUGAAUUACUUUUCGUUUAAUUAAAUACUACAAUAACUAAUCGUAAUUAUUACAUAAACUUAAAGAUUCAUAUAAUUUCAUUAUGGUUACAUUUCUCAACUUUUUAACGACUUUAAUGUAGGUACAGGAUAACUGAGAGAUUCGAAGAUGCAAACAUCGAAUAUCUCGGAAAUAUCUAGGGCCGAGUGGCAGUUAUAUGCAUGUAUAGAAAAAAGUUGUUCAGAAUUAUGCCCCCGAUAACAUAUUCAAAAAUCAUCGACAUCGUUGUGUAAUAAGGACAAACUUCUAAAUAAUUACCAAAAAUUAGUCACAUGAAAUUAUGUCUCUUUUAAAACCAUUCAAAUUUUAUCUGAAACAUUUUUCAUAAAAAUCGUUAUUUAUGUAGUAAUUGAGAUGGUUUCAUUAUUCGUACCCCACACUGUAUACAUACUUGUACUUUUCCUUUUCAUUAAAUCUUCAUAAAAUCAUCAAAGCUUAUUGUUCAUAUUAAAUAAACAAUUAUUAUGAUAAUAUGGAUAAAUAAUGGUAGUUUUUGCGAGAUCGCGUCAACGAGAGUCGUAAAUUCCUGUUACGAUACGUUAAUCAACGCCACGAAUCAGCCGAUCCCCCAUUUCAAUUAAGAUAAUAGGGGCGGUUGAAAUGAUUAUAACACUGGGUUAACAGGUUUAAUAUACACUCUUAUUUCCAACAACUUUUAAGAAUACGAUUAAUUCGUAGUGAAGUAUUUUUCACGAAGAUAACAAUUUGAGAUGUUGACUGAUCGAAGAUGUAUUAACCAACUAGUAACUCGCUCUCAACUCGCUCUCAACUCUCUCUCGACUCAACUGACGAUUCGCGACUAGACUCUUGACUAACAACUGACUGUUAAUCAAUUUUCUCCCUCAAGUAUCCCAUUGUUGUCUUUUCAUAUCCCCACAACGCACGUGCUCCGUAACCAUCUGUGAUCAUGGUCAUGUACGCCUUCUUCCGAGUAACUAUUUGACUGAAGGACCGAAGGCAUAUUGAUGGAUCAGUAGGCCGAUUGAAGUUUACCAACCCUUUCGGUCUAUCGGCACUUACGUUUUAUCACAACACGGUAUAUAUUUCGUCGGUCUUUCUUAAACGAUCUUUCCGCGAUACUACAAUAAAUACCAAAGAAGCCGCUGAAAAAAGAAUUGUUGUGCCAGGGCUGCGAAACGCGUCGCGUUCAUCAUUUGUUAUACUUUUAGCAAGAUGACGGUUCCUUAGGAUUAUUGCGGGUCGAAAUAAGUAUGUUUAUACAGAUGGUGGCUAUCUUGACCGAGGGAUGGAUUAUGAUUUACGGUAGGUCCCGGGACGUAACAUAAAAUAAUAAAUAAGAUUUCAGAGAUAGGAAUAAAUAAGAUAAAGAAAAAAAAAUAUUUCAGAAAUUGAUAAUAUUUUCGUUAUGCUGUAGUAGAAAGUAAAUUGAUAAAUAAAUUUCAUUUUCGGCUUUACUUUUUAGUUACUGACAAUUAAUAAUCCGCCAAGAUACCCCUGCACGUGAGCAAACCUCCUUACACGAACGAAAAGAGGUCAGUCCAAGCAGCGGAGCGCUCAGUGAUGCUCAAUCCAAAUGUUGAUUUGACAUUUUGUAGGAGUUAUUGAAAAAUUGACUUUAGGUUUUCCGGUAAAUAUUCACUUCACAUCAUAAAAUGUCAAAUUAAUUCGUCUUUCCUAUGUUAGAGUUUUUUUAGAACAUAUUUCUAAUCUUUUUCUUCCCACGCUCAAAAUAUAUUACGAUCAUAAAAGGAAGAAUGAGAUAUUUCCGAAACCCAUCUGGUAAAGGGAAAGUCUACUUAUCUAAUGACCAUCUGUAAUAAAUCUUUAGCUAUGUGAGGUUUCCAGAUCGUGCAAAAUAAGUUUGCGCUUUUUUUGAACACAUCUGGAGCACAGCCUAUUCGCUUCCUCUAUACCAUAUCCUUGUUUCCAAAAAAAUUUCUCAAAUAUCAUAACCGUUCUGAGAUAAUACCGAGUUAUGCAACGGAGGUGAAAGCAUUGGCAAAGAGUAUUGUAAAUUUUUCUUUCGGAAUGAACUCUCCAUCACUACAAUGCCGUGUUUUAGACAUUUUGAAGCAAGGGCUAGAAUAGUUUUGGAAGAACAGAAUCAUUCUGACAGUCUACGAGAAACUUCCAAAGAAGUGAAAAUAAUAAGUUAGUUAUUUGGGCGUAUUGUGUGUGCAAUCUGCGUAGUGCGUGUAUUAUGCGGGUAAUGAGUGUUGUACAUAGUGUAGCAGUAUUUAUAUUGUAGCCAUAUUUAUUACAAUAUGUAUAAAUUUGGAGAACUUUCGAACAUGCACCUUUGCUACGGUGCGGCGGAUAGCAAUAGCACAAAAGCACAAAUUUUAUACGUCGAAAAAUAUCCCAAUAGGACUAUAUCCAGCGCAAAUAUAUUUUGCAAAAUAGACCAACGAUAAUGUACCGGGAUACCGGUACAUUAAAACCUGCUAAAUCUAGCGGACAAAUUCAGCACGAUGAUCCGGAUCUGGGAAAUAGAAUACUGCAUCGUAUGCAAGAAAAUUCAAGAAGAAAAGAUUUUUGCGAAUGGAUAUAACAUCAUUCUAUUUAUGAUACAACAUGUAAUAAAUGUGGAAUAACAAAUAUACGUAACGAACAUUUCUGGGCAUGUGAAAAUCCACACGCAUUAAAAGUUGACUCAUGCAGGAUGGUGCACCGUCACAAUUUACCAAUGCAGUGCAACAGUACUUGACCAGCUGUUUUGGAAACGGGUGGAUCGGUCGAAGAGGAUGUGUGCUUUGUUCUGUUAGCCAAGUUCUGUUUACAAGAAAGAGGAGAACAUGUUAAACAUCUAUUGUAAUUUGUUGUAUUUUUUGUAGACACUCGCGGCUGGGACAAUCGCGGUGCAUGUGUGAUUUUGUUGUAGACACUCGCAAAGGCAAAGAUUAGAGGAAACAUGAAUCAGCUCCUACUCGAAAAUUUUAUAGGGCGUUUUUCGAUAUUUUCUUAUAGGUUUCUACGAGUAAGUUUCGAUAUUUUCUUAUAGGUUUCUACGAGUAAGCAGGUUUAAUGUUCAUCUACCAUUUCUUUUGCGAAACAUCGUGCGGGGUUGUUUACGUCUGUGAAUACCAUGGUUUUCUUCUCUACGAUUUAUAUGAGGUAAGCGGUUAUCCAUGUGUGACCUUCGUUUGUCUAAGGUUUACGUGUAGGGGUAUUUUUAAUUGUCAAUAAUUAGAAGACAAAGCUGAAAACGCAAUUUUUUUACUCUUGAUUUUCAUCUUAUUUCGAUGUCAAGAAUCACCCCUCAAAUUUCUUGACAUCUGUAGCUGAACACCCUAUAUGCAUAAUUGAACUUAUAUGAAAACUUAACUGCUGCCGUCAAAUUGUUCAAUAUUCCAAAAGGCAACGUAAUGUAUACAUACACAUAUAUCAUUUCUAGUGUAACCGCGUAACCAUGUGUAAUGCAUAACCAGGAGGGUAUUUUUAUCACAAAUUUUUAUUUCUAUUAAUUUUACCACACUCGUCUGUGAUUUUACCAUCUUUAUUAUUUGGAUUCAAUUCCUAUACUGACUGCUAUAAGUCGCAGAAGGCGUGAGAAAUACUCUGCUUUUUUACGCGAUCAGUAUUUGAAAAUAUGGGACAUGAAGUUCGAUAAGAUGCAAGGUCUAUGUUGCAUACUCUGGUUUAGUUCAUAUUCUUUACCUUCAACACUUCCACCGGAGGAUGGCGUUAAACAUCGUAGUAUUCUACAUAUGUAUAACGGUUGAUUUAUGGUCAAAAUUUUACAACAUUUUAUAACAGUAUUAACAAUAUACAGAUAGAAUAUAUGGUCUUCUUUUUUGUUACGCCAGUGUCAGGUAUCAAAUGUUGCUUUUCAUCAAAAUAAAUAUUCCAUUAUUAAAUGCUCUUUUUAACAUGCCGAUCCGUAUCCUUAUAAUUCUUUAGAAUCUUCAACCUGAAAAUGUCGCUUUAAAAAAAAAAUUAAGAGCAAUUUGACAGACACUAUCGCGUUAUGAGUGUGAAAAUUGUGAUGUGGGUCUAUGUGACGUGCUGUGCUCUAAAAUAUAUCACACUCAAUUGUAGUAUUAAUUGUUACAGUAAAUUAUUAAAGUUAAAAUAUACGCAUCAUAUUUUUAAGAAAAAUUAUAAUUUAGUUAUCAAAAACUUCGUUCCAAUGUGCUUGCGUAGAGAACAGCAUUAUCCGUCACACAUUGCAGUGCUGUAUCGAUUACGCGUAAUUCGUGUCAACUUCUGCCGUACAGAAAAACAGCCUCGCACAAAAUUCAGCCAUAUUUUUGAUUGAUAGUUCUCCGCGACUUGUAAUUAUCGAUCGAGUUAUAUAUAAAGAUUUCGUGCUGGUUUAUUAUUUAAUAAGUCCUGCCAGAGGUUUUCUUAUAAAUUUUAAUACUUUAGAUUUAGAAUUUUUAAUUCAUAUUAGAUCAGUUGUUUGUUACAUUUUCGAAUAUAGUAUGCUUAAUCAUCAAAACAGUUUUUCCGUUUAUGUACUUCGCAAUUUUAAUUUAAAAAAUAUUUACUCCGCUAUAGUAAUGUUAUAUGUGUAAACAAUCUUAAAAAUACUUUCAAUCGCGUAAUUACAUUAUUUUUUUCUAUUGUAAUCUAUUUACUGCAUUACUACAUUAUUUAUUAUAUAUAGGUAUGUUGCGGGUAUUUUAUUUCAAAAUUGAGAUUAACCAACUCAGUUCUGGAAAUUAUUGUUGAGUUGUAAUUUUUAUGAUAACAAAAAUGUAAGAUACCUAUGUUUUCAAUAAAUUUCAUUUUUUCUUAAAAAUUACUGUCUUCUAUAAACAAAACUUAUUAUCCCUUUCAACAAUCCACAUUAUAUUGAUGUAACUCCACACUAUAUUGGUAUGAGUUAAAUGUAAUUAUCCCAUUAGUAUACGAAUACAUUAUAAACAAAAUACUAUAAAUGAAAAUAUUAUUUAGUAUAGAGAUGAUACAAACAAUUAACUAAAUGACGUUAGCUAUUGCAAAAUAAUAUGAUUUAUAUACAUACAUACGUAUCAGAAAGUACAAGAAUUUGUUACGUUAUAUGUGAUAUAAUACAUAUAUACAAGAAACACAAUUUAAACAUAAAAAAAUAUUUUGUAAAAAUAAUUAUAAGUGUAAAGAAUUGUUUAUUUUAUCUUUGACAUAAAGAUGAUAUACUUACGAUAUAUUACCUUUUUGUUUAGCAAAAAAAAGUAUUUUAAAAAUAUUUAAAUAAAACGCCAUUUGCUUUUCAUAUUAAGCAGCGUUGGUUUUUAUGCAGUUGCAUCGGUUAUCUGGUUAUCUGUAGUUGAAAGAAUGUUUCUGAUGUGAUAUUUAUAUACAUAAAUUGUAUGUGUUUAAUAUUGGACGUAAAGGCGAAAUUGUUUAAAUUUUAUGAACUGUUAUAUAGUUGUGAAAUACGUAUUAAUACGUAUUAAUCGUUUCUGUCAAGUAGUAGAUAACAUCGUUAGGAUGUUAUGACUUACAACUUAUGUGUACUUACUCAGCUACAUCUCGGAUAUCUUUUUGGAAAGUCACUGAAUCAAUCACAUAAACAAGACCUUUUGCGGAUAACUUGAAUUGAUCAAAAAAUUUAUAACGCAGACGUUCAUGUCCAGGUAUAUCAACAAUUUUUAAAGACCGCUAAAUAAAUUAUCACUUUAGAGGCCUAUGUUUCUGAUGUGUGUGUCUUAACAAAUUUAGAACAAAGUAGACGUGCAUAUAUCAGUGUUUUACCAGCAUCACUAAGACCAGUUAAUAAUAUACUAUUUCCUAUAGACCUUCUCCUGUGCCAUAUGGCAAAUAACACUAAGCAAAGGAAUAGAAUAGAAAUUUAUAUAAGUAGUAGUAAUGUUUAAGAUUGAGCUGUUAAUAUCAAACAAACGGCUCUACAGACGUAGGCUUAUGAAUUUUAGGAUAAAAGCCUAAGCAAAUAUUUACACAAAAAUGUACCUAUUUUUAUAUUAUGUAUACAAUUACAAUGGUAUGUUUGUUUCAUUACUUGCAGCUAUAUCUAUAAUGUUCAUUAAUUACUGUGGCUAUAAUGAUAUACAUUUUUUUUAAACAAAUGAAUAUGAUGUCUGUAGAAUGUUAGAAAUGAAACUAUGAGAUUGUUCAUGUUAUUCAUGGACAUCAUUAAAAUAUAACAAAAACUAUUUAAUAAUACAUGUGCAAAUUAAAAGAGGGAUAUGCUCUGUUACUCUAUAUAUAUGUGAAUUUCAAGUUGUAUAUAUAAUUUAGUAGUAUAAUUUAUCAAAAGCAUUUAAACAAACAUAUGUUUUGUUUUACUUGCUACAAAAAAAGAAAACUGUGAUGUUAUUUUGAAUAAUGUGAUAAUAAAAUCAGAAAACCUA
Molecule: long non-coding RNA, 9510 nt
Organism: Bombus pascuorum
Lineage: Eukaryota; Metazoa; Arthropoda; Insecta; Hymenoptera; Apidae
Exons: 4
Source: RefSeq, a predicted model, not a curated record